AUACUUACCUGGCAGAGGAGAUACCAUGAUCACGAAGGUGGUUUUCCCAGGGCGAGGCUUAUCCAUUGCACCCCGGUUGUGUUGACCCCUGCGAUUUCCCCAAAUGUGGGAAACUCGACUGCAUAAUUUGUGGUAAUUGGGGGCUGUUGCUUUCCCGCUUUCCCCUG
Molecule: small nuclear RNA, 167 nt
Filed under: Aotus nancymaae (Ma's night monkey)
Lineage: Eukaryota; Metazoa; Chordata; Mammalia; Primates; Aotidae
Description: U1 spliceosomal RNA (ENSANAG00000020175.1)
Rfam family: U1 spliceosomal RNA
About the family: U1 is a small nuclear RNA (snRNA) component of the spliceosome (involved in pre-mRNA splicing).
Source: Rfam by way of RNAcentral